Molecule: transfer-messenger RNA, 377 nt
Filed under: Bacteroidales
Lineage: Bacteria; Pseudomonadati; Bacteroidota; Bacteroidia
Also listed under: 1 other name
Description: UBA7960 sp012521995 Standard tmRNA
Rfam family: transfer-messenger RNA
About the family: Bacterial tmRNA, also known as 10Sa RNA or SsrA, is named for its dual tRNA and mRNA-like properties. Its role is to liberate the mRNA from a stalled ribosome.
Source: RNAcentral
GGGGCUGACAUGGCUUUGACAGCGGGUCGAGUGGGAAUGUAAGCAUGCCGAGCGCUGUGAACGCGGCUCGUUAAUCCCGAUUCUCAAGCCUAUAAACGGCAACGAUUACAACUACGCUUUGGCUGCCUAAUAAUAGUUAUUAGGUGCCAUUUGCUUCCCGGGAAGCCACGCCCGGCCGCGUCCCCAAGGAAGCAUCACCAAAAGCCGGGAUAAGUUGUGCAAGGCCCUGGUGCACGAUCGAAAAUAAAAAGGGCUCAGGCAAUGGAUAGGGCCGCCUUUCCCCAGUUCAACGCUGAAACUCCAAUGAGAGGAUAAGCAUGUAGAAAGCAUUUUUGCUGCUCGUUUGGACGAGGGUUCAAUUCCCUCCAGCUCCACAA